AACGCUGGCGGCGUGCCUAAUACAUGCAAGUCGAACGGUCUUUUCUAUGGAAGCUUGCUUCCACUGAGAAGAUAGUGGCGAACGGGUGAGUAACACGCGGGUAACCUGCCCAUAAGAGGGGGAUAACAUCCGGAAACGGGUGCUAAUACCGCAUAGUUUUCUUGAUCGCAUGAUCGGGAAAGGAAAGACGGCCUUUGUGCUGUCGCUUAUGGAUGGACCCGCGGCGUAUUAGUUAGUUGGUGAGGUAACGGCUCACCAAGACGAUGAUACGUAGCCGACCUGAGAGGGUGAUCGGCCACAUUGGGACUGAGACACGGCCCAAACUCCUACGGGAGGCAGCAGUAGGGAAUCUUCCGCAAUGGACGAAAGUCUGACGGAGCAACGCCGUGUGAGUGAAAGAAGGUUUUCGGAUCGUAAAACUCUGUUGUCAGAGAAGAACAAGUUGGAGAGUAACUGCUCCAGCCUUGACGGUACCUGACCAGAAAGCCACGGCUAACUACGUGCCAGCCGCAGC
This 514-nucleotide ribosomal RNA is filed under the name uncultured bacterium. Its description in RNAcentral is "bacterial SSU rRNA". It matches the Rfam family "Bacterial small subunit ribosomal RNA", at positions 32 to 518 of the family's 1533-position model. The record is from RNAcentral.